UACGUAGGGUGCAAGCGUUAAUCGGAAUUACUGGGCGUAAAGCGUGCGCAGGCGGUUGUGUAAGACAGAUGUGAAAUCCCCGGGCUUAACCUGGGAACUGCAUCUGUGACUGCAUCGCUGGAGUGCGGCAGAGGGGGAUGGAAUUCCGCGUGUAGCAGUGAAAUGCGUAGAUAUGCGGAGGAACACCGAUGGCGAAGGCAAUCCCCUGGGCCUGCACUGACGCUCAUGCACGAAAGCGUGGGGAGCAAACAGG
RNAcentral lists this ribosomal RNA (253 nucleotides) under uncultured bacterium. RNAcentral describes it as "partial 16S ribosomal RNA". It matches the Rfam family "Bacterial small subunit ribosomal RNA", at positions 524 to 776 of the family's 1533-position model. The record is from RNAcentral.